UGGGGAAUAUUGCACAAUGGGCAAAAGCCUGAUGCAGCAACGCCGCGUGAGCGAUGGAGGCCUUCGGGUCGUAAAGCUCUGUCCUCAAGGAAGAUAAUGACGGUACUUGAGGAGGAAGCCCCGGCUAACUACGUGCCAGCAGCCGCGGUAAUACGUAGGGGGCUAGCGUUAUCCGGAUUUACUGGGCGUAAAGGGUGCGUAGGCGGUCUUUUAAGUCAGAAGUGAAAGGCUACGGCUUAACCGUAGUAAGCUUGUGAAACUGGAGGACUUGAGUGCAGGAGAGGAGAGUGGAAUUCCUAGUGUAGCGGUGAAAUGCGUAGAUAUUAGGAGGAACACCAGUAGCGAAGGCGGCUCUCUGGACUGUAACUGACGCUGAGGCACGAAAGCGUGGGGAGCAAACA
This 401-nucleotide ribosomal RNA is filed under the name uncultured prokaryote. RNAcentral describes it as "bacterial SSU rRNA". It matches the Rfam family "Bacterial small subunit ribosomal RNA", at positions 355 to 774 of the family's 1533-position model. The record is from RNAcentral.